This 1308-nucleotide long non-coding RNA is filed under the name Gallus gallus (chicken). RNAcentral's name for it is "lncRNA (ENSGALG00010028804.1)". Lineage: Eukaryota; Metazoa; Chordata; Aves; Galliformes; Phasianidae. The record is from RNAcentral.
CGUGAGCCCAUAGGAAACCCCACAAGUGUGGGGCAGCAGCUCUCCAAGUGACCCCCAUAAACCCAUGGCAAACCCCAUAAAUGUGGGGCAGAGCAUCUCCAACAGACCCCCACGAACCCACAGCAAUCUCCAUAAGUGUGGGGCAGAAGGUCCCCAGGUGACCCCCGUGAGCCCAUAUGGAACCCCACAGAUGUGGGGCAGAACAUCUCCAACAGACCCCCAUCAACCCACAGCAAACCCCACAAGUGUGGGGCAGAAGGUCCCCAAGAGACCCCCGUGAGCCCAUAGGAAACCCCACAAGUGUGGGGCAGCAGCUCUCCAAGUGACCCCCAUAAACCCAUGGCAAACCCCAUAAAUGUGGGGCAGAGCAUCUCCAACAGACCCCCACGAACCCACAGCAAUCUCCAUAAGUGUGGGGCAGAAGGUCCCCAAGAGACCCCCGUGAGCCCAUAGGAAACCCCACAAGUGUGGGGCAGCAGCUCUCCAAGUGACCCCCAUAAACCCAUGGCAAACCCCAUAAAUGUGGGGCAGAGCAUCUCCAACAGACCCCCACGAACCCACAGCAAUCCCCAUAAGUGUGGGGCAGAAGGUCCCCAAGAGACCCCCGUGAGCCCAUAGGAAACCCCACAAGUGUGGGGCAGCAGCUCUCCAAAGACCCCCGUGAGCCCAUAGGAAACCCCACAAGUGUGGGGCAGCAGCUCUCCAAGUGACCCCCAUAAACCCAUGGCAAACCCCAUAAAUGUGGGGCAGAGCAUCUCCAACAGACCCCCACGAACCCACAGCAAUCCCCAUAAGUGUGGGGCAGAAGGUCCCCAGGUGACCCCUAUGAGCCCACAUGGAACCCCACAGAUGUGGGGCAGAAGAUCUCCAAUUGACCCCAGUGGGCUCACGGUGAACCCCAUAAGUGUGGGGCAGGCGGUCCCCAAGUGAUCCCCCAUAUCCUGCCCAGUACCCCCCAGUAUCCCACCCCCAUAUCUCCCAGUAUCCUCCAAUAUCUUCCAGUAUCCCCCACUAUCCCCCAAUAUCUCCCAGUAUCCCCCAGUUUCCCUCAUUAUCUCCCAGUACCCCCCAGUAUCCCCCAGUAUCCCUCAUUAUCUCCCAGUAUCUCCCAGUAUCCCCCAGUAUCCCCCAUUAUCUCCCAGUAUCCCACCCCAGUAUCUCUCAAUAUCUCCCAAUAUCUCCCAGUAUCCCACCCCAGUAUCUCCCAGUAUCCCCCAAUAUCUUCCAGUAUCCCCCAGUACCCUCAAUAUCUCCCAGUAUCCCACCCCAAUAUCCCCAGUAUCCCCCAGUAUCUCCCAAUAUCUCCCA